AUGAGGGGGGCUACGAAGUCAACCACCUGCUCUGGCACUGCGUGGCCGCCUGGUCUUGUGUGCAGAACAAUAGUCCUCAGCUGAACGAAGUGCUUGAACAUCUCCUCUUCCACAAGAAGCAGCUUCAAACGAAAUGCUGGUUGGAUUCAACGCUGGCAUUGUUGGUUCUGGGGGAGGCUGCUAAGUUGAACAUGGCCUGCUUGAAGACUCUGAUGGAUCUAGUGAAAGAUUUUCUUCUGAGCAUCUUCUCUGUUCAGAGCCAGGAAGAGAACUAUCAGGCACAUGAACUUCCCUGGGCCUCUGAUGUCAUCUUCUCAUAUACAACAAUUAUUUCAGAAGUGUGUUUGUACGCAGCUACCUCUUAUCUGAGGAAAACGGCUUUGAUUGGGUUCUGUGACUGUACAAGUUCGCAGAAGGAGACUUUA
Molecule: long non-coding RNA, 425 nt
Organism: Phodopus roborovskii (desert hamster)
Lineage: Eukaryota; Metazoa; Chordata; Mammalia; Rodentia; Cricetidae
Exons: 3
Source: RefSeq, a predicted model, not a curated record